Long non-coding RNA from Fukomys damarensis (Damara mole-rat), 864 nucleotides. RefSeq lists it as uncharacterized. The record is from RefSeq and is a predicted model, not a curated record. NCBI's taxonomy places the organism in Eukaryota, Metazoa, Chordata, Mammalia, Rodentia, Bathyergidae. The transcript has 3 exons.
UGUUGGAUGAGGAGAAACAAACCUUUCAUUGGGCCUUAGCAUGACUUCGGGCAUCCUGGGCCUCCGGGCUGCCCAGCCUCUUCCGCGAAAGCCCAGUCCAGCGCAGCUGAGAGCUCUGGAAAAGUUUCUGAGCGAAAGACCUGCAGCUUCGGGGCGCCGGGAUCUGCUGCCUGGAGCCGGGAGGGUAGCCUGGUUGGCAGCCGAGUCUUAACAGCUAAGCAGUGGCUGAAGGUCCUUUUGUCUUCCCCGGCCUCCGCUGUCCCUACCUCCCACCGCGGAUCCCGUCACCCCAGCUGCUCGAGGUCCCGCUCUCCAGGGCACGUUAGUUGCGAGCGCAGGGUCGAGGCCAGCCAGAUGGGGGUUUUGCAGUCCCAGGCGUGCGGCUGCGGAGGCUGGCUGCUCCCUGGCCUGUGGCUGCUGGCGCUGAGCGGUCCAGGGGGACUACUGUCCACCCAGGAAUAGCCUUCUUGCUGCAGAGCUUCAUCUCCACUUUAUCCUGGACAAAUCCGCAAAUCCAGUCAAUCAGAAGUUGUUCUGCACUCGCAUUCUGGUGAUUUGACAGUUUGCCAUGACUGACAGGUCAGUUACCCAGUCUCCUUUCCAACCUUCUAUGAUUGACAGGCUACAUCCCGCUAUCCAUCCAGCCUACCAUGUCCUGAUCUCCUGCCUCUUGGGAUUACAGAAGCCUGGCUGACACUGAAGAACAGAGCAGAGCCAUACCCUCCCUAACCAGUGUGGAUGUCCCCUCUCCUGGGUCCCAGAUUCUGUCUCUCACGGCUGCAUGGAGAAAGAUUGUGUCAUCAAAUCUUCCUUCUGAGAUGCUGACUUUAACAGAUUAGAAAUGCUCCCAGCACAGCCCGCACU